RNAcentral lists this ribosomal RNA (529 nucleotides) under Eulichas baeri. RNAcentral describes it as "partial 16S ribosomal RNA". It matches the Rfam family "Bacterial large subunit ribosomal RNA", at positions 1822 to 2610 of the family's 2925-position model. The record is from RNAcentral. Lineage: Eukaryota; Metazoa; Arthropoda; Insecta; Coleoptera; Eulichadidae.
CAUGUCUUUUUGAAAAUAAUUUAAGGUCUAAUCUGCCCGCUGAGGAUUUGAAUGGCCGCGGUAUUUUGACCGUGCAAAGGUAGCAUAAUCAUUAGUUUUUUGAUUGAAAGCUGGUAUGAAUGAUUGGACGAGAAAAUUUCUGUCUCUGAUUAAUUUUUUUAUAAAAUUUAACUUUUGAGUUAAAAGGCUCAAAUAGAUUUGAAAGACGAGAAGACCCUAUAGAGUUUUAUUUGUUUAAUUUGAUUUUAAAGUGAAGUAUUGCUAUUUUUUUCUUUUUAAGUAAGUUUUGUUGGGGUGAUGGGAAGAUUAAUUAAACUCUUUUUAUUUAUUUUACAAUUAUUUUUGGUUUAUUGAUCCAAUUUUUUUGAUUAAAAGUUUAAAUUACCUUAGGGAUAACAGCGUAAUUUUUAUAGAGAGUUCUUAUCGAAAUAAAAGAUUGCGACCUCGAUGUUGGAUUAAAGUUAAUUUUUAGUGCAGAAGCUUUGAAUAUUAGGUCUGUUCGACCUUUAAAACUUUACAUGAUCUGAGU